This 666-nucleotide ribosomal RNA is filed under the name uncultured bacterium. Its description in RNAcentral is "bacterial SSU rRNA". It matches the Rfam family "Bacterial small subunit ribosomal RNA", at positions 1 to 629 of the family's 1533-position model. The record is from RNAcentral.
UUAGAGUUUGAUCAUGGCUCAGGACGAACGCUGGCGGCGUGCCUAAUACAUGCAAGUCGAACGCGUCCCGGUUGAUGAAGUUGAGUGCUUGCACUUGAUUGAUUCAACUUGGUGACGAGUGGCGAACUGGUGAGUAACACGUGGGUAACCUGCCCCGAAGCGGGGGAUAACAUUUGGAAACAGGUGCUAAUACCGCAUAACAACCAAAACCACCUGGUUUUGGUUUGAAAGACGGCUUCGGCUGUCACUUUGGGAUGGACCCGCGGCGUAUUAGCUAGUUGGUGAGGUAACGGCUCACCAAGGCGAUGAUACGUAGCCGACCUGAGAGGGUAAUCGGCCACAUUGGGACUGAGACACGGCCCAAACUCCUACGGGAGGCAGCAGUAGGGAAUCUUCCACAAUGGACGUAAGUCUGAUGGAGCAACGCCGCGUGAGUGAUGAAGGGUUUCGGCUCGUAAAACUCUGUUGUUGGAGAAGAACGGGUGUCAGAAUAACUGUUGACAUCGUGACGGUAUCCAACCAGAAAGCCACGGCUAACUACGUGCCAGCAGCCGCGGUAAUACGUAGGUGGCAAGCGUUGUCCGGAUUUAUUGGGCGUAAAGCGAGCGCANGCGGUUUUUUAGGUCUGAUGUGAAAGCCUUCGGCUUAACCGGAGAAGUGCAUCGG